This 505-nucleotide ribosomal RNA is filed under the name uncultured bacterium. RNAcentral's name for it is "partial 16S ribosomal RNA". It matches the Rfam family "Bacterial small subunit ribosomal RNA", at positions 28 to 507 of the family's 1533-position model. The record is from RNAcentral.
GACGAACGCUGGCGGCGUGCCUAAUACAUGCAAGUCGAACGCACAGUUUAUACCGUAGCUUGCUACACCAUAGACUGUGAGUUGCGAACGGGUGAGUAACGCGUAGGUAACCUGCCUGGUAGCGGGGGGUAACUAUUGGAAACGAUAGCUAAUACCGCAUAAUAUUGAUUAUUGCAUGAUAAUUGAUUGAAAGAUGCUAUUGCAUCACUACCAGAUGGACCUGCGUUGUAUUAGCUAGUAGGUGAGGUAACGGCUCACCUAGGCGACGAUACAUAGCCGACCUGAGAGGGUGAUCGGCCACACUGGGACUGAGACACGGCCCAGACUCCUACGGGAGGCAGCAGUAGGGAAUCUUCGGCAAUGGACGAAAGUCUGACCGAGCAACGCCGCGUGAGUGAAGAAGGGUUUCGGAUCGUAAAGCUCUGUUGUAAGAGAAGAACGGGUGUGAGAGUGGAAAGUUCACACUGUGACGGUAGCUUACCAGAAAGGGACGGCUAACUACGUG